This 490-nucleotide ribosomal RNA is filed under the name uncultured bacterium. RNAcentral's name for it is "partial 16S ribosomal RNA". It matches the Rfam family "Bacterial small subunit ribosomal RNA", at positions 30 to 507 of the family's 1533-position model. The record is from RNAcentral.
AUUGAACGCUGGCGGCAGGCCUAACACAUGCAAGUCGAACGGUAACAGGAAGAAGCUUGCUUCUUUGCUGACGAGUGGCGGACGGGUGAGUAAUGUCUGGGAAACUGCCUGAUGGAGGGGGAUAACUACUGGAAACGGUAGCUAAUACCGCAUAACGUGCCAAGACCAAAGAGGGGGACCUUCGGGCCUCUUGCCAUCGGAUGUGCCCAGAUGGGAUUAGCUUGUUGGUGGGGUAACGGCUCACCAAGGCGACGAUCCCUAGCUGGUCUGAGAGGAUGACCAGCCACACUGGAACUGAGACACGGUCCAGACUCCUACGGGAGGCAGCAGUGGGGAAUAUUGCACAAUGGGCGCAAGCCUGAUGCAGCCAUGCCGCGUGUAUGAAGAAGGCCUUCGGGUUGUAAAGUACUUUCAGCGGGGAGGAAGGGAGUAAAGUUAAUACCUUUGCUCAUUGACGUUACCCGCAGAAGAAGCACCGGCUAACUCCGUG